This 337-nucleotide unclassified non-coding RNA is filed under the name soil metagenome. RNAcentral describes it as "partial contains 5.8S ribosomal RNA, internal transcribed spacer 2, and large subunit ribosomal RNA". The stretch from base 1 to 120 matches the Rfam family "5.8S ribosomal RNA", at positions 35 to 154 of the family's 154-position model. The record is from RNAcentral.
GAUGAAGAACGUAGCGAAAUGCGAUAAGUAAUGUGAAUUGCAGAAUUCAGUGAAUCAUCGAAUCUUUGAACGCACAUUGCGCCCCCUGGCAUUCCGGGGGGCAUGCCUGUCCGAGCGUCAUUUCUGCCCUCAAGCACGGCUUGUGUGUUGGGUGUGGUCCCCCCGGGGACCUGCCCGAAAGGCAGCGGCGACGUCCGUCUGGUCCUCGAGCGUAUGGGGCUCUGUCACUCGCUCGGGAAGGACCUGCGGGGGUUGGUCACCACCAUGUUUUACCACGGUUGACCUCGGAUCAGGUAGGAGUUACCCGCUGAACUUAAGCAUAUCAAUAAGCGGAGGA